GACGAACGCUGGCGGCGUGCCUAAUACAUGCAAGUCGAACGCUGUUGCGAGGGGUUGAGUAACGGGUAGUUAACUGCCGUAUAGCAGGGGAUAACUAUUGGAAACGCUAGCUAAUACCUGAUACUGUGAGAUGGACCUGCGUUGUAUUCGCUAGUUGGUGAGGUAAAGGCUCACCAAGGCGACGAUCCAUAGCCGACCUGAGAGGGUGAGCGGCCACACUGGGACUGAGACACGGCCCAGACUCAUACGGGAGGCAGCAGUAGGGAAUCUUCGGCAAUGGACGAAAGUCUGACCGAGCAACGCCGCGUGAGUGAAGAAGGUUUUCGGAUCGUAAAACUCUGUUGUUAGAGAAGCGGUAUCUAACCAGAAAGCCACGGCUAACUACGUGCCAGCCGCCGCGGUAAUUC
RNAcentral lists this ribosomal RNA (407 nucleotides) under uncultured bacterium. Its description in RNAcentral is "partial 16S ribosomal RNA". It matches the Rfam family "Bacterial small subunit ribosomal RNA", at positions 28 to 526 of the family's 1533-position model. The record is from RNAcentral.